GACGAACGCUGGCGGCGUGCUUAACACAUGCAAGUCGAACGGAAAGGCCCUGCUUUUGUGGGGUGCUCGAGUGGCGAACGGGUGAGUAACACGUGAGUAACCUGCCCUUGACUUUGGGAUAACUUCAGGAAACUGGGGCUAAUACCGGAUAGGAUCUCCUGCUUCAUGGUUGGGGUUGUAAAGUUUCGGCGGUUGGGGAUGGACUCGCGGCUUAUCAGCUUGUUGUUGGGGUAGUGGAUUACCAAGGCUUUGACGAGUUGCCGGCCUGAGAGGGUGACCAGCCACAUUGGGACUGGAAUGCGGGCCAGAAUCCAAAGGGAAGGAAAAGUGGGGAGUAGUGCACAAUGGGCGGAAGGCAAGUGCAGCAAAGCCGGGAGAGGGAUGACGGCCUGUGGGUUGGAGACCGCUUUCGCCUGUGACGAAACGUGAGUGACGGUAAUGGGUAAAGAAGCACCGGCUAACUACGUG
Molecule: ribosomal RNA, 468 nt
Filed under: uncultured bacterium
Lineage: Bacteria
Description: partial 16S ribosomal RNA
Rfam family: Bacterial small subunit ribosomal RNA
Source: RNAcentral